AAAUUGAAGAGUUUGAUCAUGGCUCAGAUUGAACGCUGGCGGCAGGCCUAACACAUGCAAGUCGAACGGUAACAGGAAGCAGCUUGCUGCUUCGCUGACGAGUGGCGGACGGGUGAGUAAUGUCUGGGAAACUGCCUGAUGGAGGGGGAUAACUACUGGAAACGGUGGCUAAUACCGCAUAACGUCGCAAGACCAAAGAGGGGGACCUUCGGGCCUCUUGCCAUCAGAUGUGCCCAGAUGGGAUUAGCUUGUUGGUGAGGUAACGGCUCACCAAGGCGACGAUCCCUAGCUGGUCUGAGAGGAUGACCAGCCACACUGGAACUGAGACACGGUCCAGACUCCUACGGGAGGCAGCAGUGGGGAAUAUUGCACAAUGGGCGCAAGCCUGAUGCAGCCAUGCCGCGUGUAUGAAGAAGGCCUUCGGGUUGUAAAGUACUUUCAGCGGGGAGGAAGGUGUUGCGGUUAAUAACCGCAGCAAUUGACGUUACCCGCAGAAGAAGCACCGGCUAACUCCGUGCCAGCAGCCGCGGUAAUACGGAGGGUGCAAGCGUUAAUCGGAAUUACUGGGCGUAAAGCGCACGCAGGCGGUCUG
RNAcentral lists this ribosomal RNA (592 nucleotides) under Salmonella enterica subsp. enterica serovar Infantis. Its description in RNAcentral is "bacterial SSU rRNA". It matches the Rfam family "Bacterial small subunit ribosomal RNA", at positions 1 to 582 of the family's 1533-position model. Lineage: Bacteria; Pseudomonadati; Pseudomonadota; Gammaproteobacteria; Enterobacterales; Enterobacteriaceae. RNAcentral also lists the same sequence under 1 other name. The record is from RNAcentral.